Ornithorhynchus anatinus (platypus) is the source of this 74-nucleotide non-coding RNA. The record is from the annotation of a RefSeq genome assembly. NCBI's taxonomy places the organism in Eukaryota, Metazoa, Chordata, Mammalia, Monotremata, Ornithorhynchidae.
GUUUCCAUAGUGUAAUGGUCAACACGUUUGCCUAACACGCGAAAGGUUCCCCGGUUCGAAACCGGGUGGAAACA